GUCAUAUUCCAGCUCUCGACUCCAAUUGGCCGGUCGGGAAGACGAGGAGGCGGGGCGCUGUUUCGGGCGUUUGUAAGAACGAAGCUCUUUGGCCGGCAAAUGCCCCUCUCACCUGAGGGCGGAAGUUCGCCUACCAACCCGGAAGAGCCGCGGAGGCUGAAUGGAGCCUGGGCAACGUGUAGCGGGGCGGGACCUUUGAGAGUUGUGUCGGGCGUUUCUCCUACUGUUUUCGUACCGUCAGGUAGAAGUCCUUGAACAUAUUAAAAUAAGCAUGUAUACCUACACAACACUGGGAGUGUUAUGAACAACUAACUUCAGC
Molecule: non-coding RNA, 319 nt
Organism: Podarcis muralis (Common wall lizard)
Lineage: Eukaryota; Metazoa; Chordata; Lepidosauria; Squamata; Lacertidae
Source: RefSeq, a predicted model, not a curated record